GUGGGGAAUCUUCCGCAAUGGACGAAAGUCUGACGGAGCGACGCCGCGUGAGUGAUGAAGGCCCUUGGGUCGUAAAGCUCUGUCAUCAGGGACGAACGGUCACGUCAGGAAAUGGGCGUGAAUUGACGGUACCUGAGAAGGAAGCCACGGCUAACUACGUGCCAGCAGCCGCGGUAAUACGUAGGUGGCGAGCGUUGUCCGGAAUUAUUGGGCGUAAAGCGCGCGCAGGUGGGAUCUUAAGUCUGUUCUGAAAGUUCGGAGCUUAACUCCGUGAUGGGAUGGAAACUGGGAUUCUUGAGUAUCGGAGAGGAAAGCGGAAUUCCCCGUGUAGCGGUGAAAUGCGUAGAUAUGGGGAGGAACACCAGUGGCGAAGGCGGCUUUCUGGACGAUGUCUGACACUGAGGCGCGAAAGCCAGGGGAGCGAACGGGAUUAGAAACCCUAGUAGUCC
RNAcentral lists this ribosomal RNA (449 nucleotides) under uncultured bacterium. Its description in RNAcentral is "partial 16S ribosomal RNA". It matches the Rfam family "Bacterial small subunit ribosomal RNA", at positions 354 to 796 of the family's 1533-position model. The record is from RNAcentral.